GCAGCCAAUAGGGCCCAGCCGGAUGUACGAGAUCAAAUAGAUAUGUCUCUGUCUUGGGAAAAAACAACUUCACGAAUAGGGAGACCCGUCUACCUGCUUCUAGGAACGGACGAGCCGCCGAUGGAUGGCGGAACGCCACGGCGAGUCCGCUGUACUGCCCUCCGUCGCCGGAUGUAUCCCUGCUGCGGCAGCCUCAUUUGGUCAUCCCCGAAUAUCUUCCUAGGCUUUUGAUGUCGUGGAUGGUAAAUGAGCAAAACAUACCAACUCAUUAUGUCCCAGAUUUAAGGCAUCCCUGUUUAGUGACUCCAUCCUGAUUCAGCUGGCUACAACACUUGAUCUGGCUAGAUGUCCACUAGAUUGUGGCUGCAGUGUGAAUUGUUUUCUUUCUUUUUUGGCUGUGAAUUCAUGCGUGGUUUGAUGGUAUGCCAUCUUCUCUGGACACAAUAGCUAAAAGCCCAUGGAAACAAAGCCAAGUGGUCAGUGGAAGUACUUUCUUGGAAGAAACAAAUGAAUCAUAGUUAUUUGCUUUCCGAAUCUGUUUAUUCUUCCAUCUUCUUGAUGUAAAGCAUCAUGAUUUUUUUAGAAUUGUCAAGCAUUAUGAUAAAAA
Long non-coding RNA from Aegilops tauschii subsp. strangulata, 607 nucleotides. RefSeq lists it as uncharacterized. NCBI's taxonomy places the organism in Eukaryota, Viridiplantae, Streptophyta, Magnoliopsida, Poales, Poaceae. The record is from RefSeq and is a predicted model, not a curated record.